UAGCGGCGAGCGAACAGGCAAGAGCUCAGAUUUGAAAGCCCUCGGGCAUUGUAUUCUGAAGCCUUGGUCCUGAGAAUCGGUGUUUAAGUCUUCUGGAAAGGAGCGCCAUGGAGGGUGAUAGCCCCGUACGACACCACUCUCACUGUAGGACUUUGGCAUGGAGUCGAGUUGUUUGGGAAUGCAGCUCAAAUGGGUGGUAUGCUCCAUCAAAGCUAAAUAUCUGCGAGAGACCGAUAGCGAACAAGUACUGUGAAGGAAAGAUGAAAAGAACUUUGAAAAGAGAGUGAAAAAGUACGUGAAAUUGUUGAAAUGGAAGGAUAGGCCGCUAACCAUGUAGGGUCGUGUUUGAGGGGAAGAUAAAAGCUGAAGAAUGUAGCUCCUCGGAGUGUUAUAGCUUCAGUCCAUA
This 406-nucleotide ribosomal RNA is filed under the name Starmerella apicola. RNAcentral's name for it is "eukaryotic LSU rRNA". It matches the Rfam family "Eukaryotic large subunit ribosomal RNA", at positions 84 to 516 of the family's 3401-position model. The record is from RNAcentral. Lineage: Eukaryota; Fungi; Ascomycota; Dipodascomycetes; Dipodascales; Trichomonascaceae.